Molecule: ribosomal RNA, 465 nt
Filed under: uncultured bacterium
Lineage: Bacteria
Description: bacterial SSU rRNA
Rfam family: Bacterial small subunit ribosomal RNA
Source: RNAcentral
CCUACGGGAUGCAGCAGUGGGGAAUAUUGCACAAUGGGCGCAAGCCUGAUGCAGCCAUGCCGCGUGUAUGAAGAAGGCCUUCGGGUUGUAAAGUACUUUCAGCGGGGAGGAAGGUGUUGAGGCUAAUAACCUCAGCAAUUGACGUUACCCGCAGAAUGAAGCACCGGCUAACUCCGUGCCAGCAGCCGCGGUAAUACGGAGGGUGCAAGCAUUAAUCGGAAUUACUGGGCGUAAAGCGCACGCAGGCGGUCUGUCAAGUCGGAUGUGAAACCCCCGGGCUCAACCUGGGAACUGCAUUCGAAACUGGCAGGCUAGAGUCUUGUAGAGGGGGGUAGAAUUCCAGGUGUAGCGGUGAAAUGCGUAGAGAUCUGGAGGAAUACCGGUGGCGAAGGCGGCCCCUGGACAAAGACUGACGCUCAGGUGCGAAAGCGUGGGGAGCAAACAGGAUUAGAUACCCGGGUAGUC